Molecule: ribosomal RNA, 214 nt
Filed under: Vibrio parahaemolyticus
Lineage: Bacteria; Pseudomonadati; Pseudomonadota; Gammaproteobacteria; Vibrionales; Vibrionaceae
Description: partial 16S ribosomal RNA
Rfam family: Bacterial small subunit ribosomal RNA
Source: RNAcentral
AGCCGCGGUAAUACGGAGGGUGCGAGCGUUAAUCGGAAUUACUGGGCGUAAAGCGCAUGCAGGUGGUUUGUUAAGUCAGAUGUGAAAGCCCGGGGCUCAACCUCGGAAUUGCAUUUGAAACUGGCAGACUAGAGUACUGUAGAGGGGGGUAGAAUUUCAGGUGUAGCGGUGAAAUGCGUAGAGAUCUGAAGGAAUACCGGUGGCGAAGGCGGCC